CGGCCAGACUCCUACGGGAGGCAGCAGUGAGGAAUAUUGGUCAAUGGUCGGGAGACUGAACCAGCCAAGUCGCGUGAGGGAAGACGGCCCUACGGGUUGUAAACCUCUUUUGUCGGGGAGCAAAGCGAACCACGUGUGGUUCAUUGAGAGUACCCGAAGAAAAAGCAUCGGCUAACCCCGCGCCAGCAGCCGCGGUAAUACGGAGGAUGCGAGCGUUAUCCGGAUUUAUUGGGUUUAAAGGGAGCGUAGAUGGGUUGUUAAGUCAGUUGUGAAAGUUUGCGGCUCAACCGUAAAAUUGCAAUUGAUACUGGCAGCCUUGAGUACAGUUGAGGUAGGCGGAAUUCGUGGUGUAGCGGUGAAAUGCUUAGAUAUCACGAAGAACCCCGAUUGCGAAGGCAGCUUACUAAACUGUGACUGACAUUGAUGCUCGAAAGUGUGGGUAUCAAACAGGAUUAGAUACCCCUGUAC
This 468-nucleotide ribosomal RNA is filed under the name uncultured bacterium. RNAcentral's name for it is "bacterial SSU rRNA". It matches the Rfam family "Bacterial small subunit ribosomal RNA", at positions 328 to 793 of the family's 1533-position model. The record is from RNAcentral.